UGGUGUACUCCUCAAUGCCAUUGGAUGAAUCCCGGAAUAUAUUCCAGUCUGUGCUAGCAAAACAGUCCUGUAGCGUAGCAUCUGCAUCAUCUGACCACUGGUACCUCCUGCUUUAGGUACCUCCUGCUUUAGGGAGAGCUCUGUGUGUGGAGUAAAGGUGGUCUGGAGUUUUUUCCCCCUUCUGGUUGCACAUGUGACAUGCUGGUAGAAAUUAGGUGAAACGGAUUUAAGUUUGCCUGCAUUAAAGUCCCUGGCCACUAGGAGCGCCACUUCUGGAUGAGCAUUUUCUUGUUUGAUUAUGGCCUUAUACAGCUCGUUGAGUGCGGUCUUAGUACCAGCAAGUUGCAGAGAACGACUGCAUUGUUUGUUUAUCUAGCUAUCUAACAACUUGCAAGGCAAGUAUCACCCGGUCACGUUCAUAUUACCCACCUUGAUGCUGCAGACUCUCCCACUGUGUUUCCAGCAACAGCUUCUCCAGAACCUUCCAGCAAGUGGAGGGAAGGAGGGAGUAUGAGACCCCAGCUCCUCGCAGGUUCAACCCAAAGCCCACACUCUGGAACACCACUAAACUCCGGAACACCCAGAACACUACACAGCUGCACAGCUCCAGGACACAGAAUACACCUCACACAGUGCAAGGAAACUUCUGGAGGCCAUCCCUAACAACAGCAGCAGCUUGGCAGCCAGAGGUGUGCAGCAGCAGUUUUCUUAGGGUUGCCAUAGCAACACCACCGAUGGCAACCUGCAAACAGUGCAAUCCAGGUAAGAGGGAGAAGAAAAAAAAUGUUUGUCAUGUUUUCACGAUUUGAAAACAUAAUUGGCUAUCUUUUGUCUAUUUGACUAUUUCCUCCUCCCAAACAAAAACAUGCAUCUGUACCAUACCUGAGGCAUUGUGCACUUUAAAAAGAGCUGUAUGAUACUUAUUCUUAAUGUUUAGUCAAUAAAUAUUUGACUUAUUUUAUACAUUGUAAUAUGUACAGUGCCUUCAGAAAGUUUUCACAUCCCUUGACUUUUUAAUUGAUCAGAUAGAGAUGUAUUGUCACUGGCCUACACACAAUACCCCAUAAUGUCAAAGUGGAAUAAUGUUUUUCAAAAGAAAUUGAAAUGAAUUAAAAAUGAAAAGCUGAAAUGUCUUGAGUCAAUAAGUAUUGAAGCCUUUUGUUCUGGCAAGCCUAAAAGUUGCAUGGACUCUGUGUGCAAUUAUAGUGUUUUAACAUGAUUUUAUAAUGACCCCCUCAUCUCUGUACCCCACACAUGCAAUUAUCUGUAAGGUCCCUCAGUCAAGCAGUGAAUUUCAAGC
Long non-coding RNA from Salmo salar (Atlantic salmon), 1300 nucleotides. RefSeq lists it as uncharacterized. Lineage: Eukaryota; Metazoa; Chordata; Actinopteri; Salmoniformes; Salmonidae. The record is from RefSeq and is a predicted model, not a curated record.